ACUACAGGCCAUGAAUUCUAGAAAGAAAAAGCUUGAACUUAGAAGUAUGUUUUUACACAGAACCUCAAACAACAAUCAAGUCUGACUAACCCCUAGGUCCCCAUUUUAUGAUACCCUAAGCAGAGAACCCACUCAGGUCAUGAAGAACAAGAGCAACCCAAAUCCCUUGGACAAAAUUGUCUCUUGGCGCAAACUGAGCUGCUGGUUCAACCCACCUUCAGGAAAACGUUCUGGUUUCAUACUGCUGCUGGGAAGAUUAAUUUGAUGGCUUGUUAACAAUAUGAAUCUCUUUUCUUACUGUUCUGGAAAUCAGAAGUCUGAAACUGAGUUGGACACAGAAUAUUUUCUUUGGUAUCUUCAAUACCAGAAAACAGAAAAUGCUCAAGAAUUUAUGUUUAAUUGAUUUACUUAAUCUUGAAUUCUGUAUUCUUCAGCUUUUAUAGUUGCUGCCAUCAGUUUAUCAAGACCUGACAUCUGCAAACCUUGCCCUUAUUUUUCAUCCAAAAUUGAAUUCACUCAACAAAUAUUUGAACAUUUGAAUACCACACACCACAGGCUACAAAUAGACAAAAAAAUAAAGUUUCUGCCCUCAA
Mastomys coucha (southern multimammate mouse) is the source of this 593-nucleotide long non-coding RNA. RefSeq lists it as uncharacterized. The transcript is spliced from 3 exons. Lineage: Eukaryota; Metazoa; Chordata; Mammalia; Rodentia; Muridae. The record is from RefSeq and is a predicted model, not a curated record.